RNAcentral lists this ribosomal RNA (262 nucleotides) under uncultured bacterium. RNAcentral describes it as "partial 16S ribosomal RNA". It matches the Rfam family "Bacterial small subunit ribosomal RNA", at positions 515 to 776 of the family's 1533-position model. The record is from RNAcentral.
CCGCGGUAAUACAGAGGGUGCAAGCGUUAAUCGGAAUCACUGGGCGUAAAGCGUGCGUAGGUGGUCAUGCAAGUCGGGUGUGAAAUCCCCGGGCUUAACCUGGGAACUGCAUUCGAUACUACAUGGCUAGAGUAUGGUAGAGGGAAGUGGAAUUUCCGGUGUAGCGGUGAAAUGCGUAGAUAUCGGAAGGAACACCAAUGGCGAAGGCAGCUUCCUGGACCAAUACUGACACUGAGGCACGAAAGCGUGGGUAGCAAACAGG